GCAAACGGGUGAGGAAUAUAUAGGAAUCUACCUAGCAGUAUGGAAUAACUUUCGGAAACGGAAGCUAAUACCAUAUAUUACCGAUUUAUCGGGAAAGAUUUAUCGCUGUUAGAUGAGCCUGUACCAGAUUAGCUUGUUGGUGGGGUAAUGGCCUACCAAGGCAAUGAUCUGUAGCUGGUCUGAGAGGAUGAUCAGCCACACUGGGACUGCGACACGGCCCAGACUUC
This 227-nucleotide ribosomal RNA is filed under the name uncultured bacterium. RNAcentral's name for it is "partial 16S ribosomal RNA". It matches the Rfam family "Bacterial small subunit ribosomal RNA", at positions 98 to 339 of the family's 1533-position model. The record is from RNAcentral.